Molecule: long non-coding RNA, 731 nt
Organism: Aethina tumida (small hive beetle)
Lineage: Eukaryota; Metazoa; Arthropoda; Insecta; Coleoptera; Nitidulidae
Exons: 2
Source: RefSeq, a predicted model, not a curated record
GGUUAACAUGUUGAUGUCCUGUUUUAAUGUCUAAACAAACGAGAUGGAUAUCGGAAAAUGAUUAAGUAGAGAAAAUGAUUAAUGACACGUUUAUUUGAAUAAUCCAAUUUAGAUUGCAGAUUUAGAUUCAAGGGAAAAUUGGCUUGAUUCCAACUUGUAUUUUCCAAUAUUUUCGAUUCAAAUGUUUAAUAUUCAUCCCCUACAGAUAUAACAUGUACGUCUCGUAACCAAAGGUUUUAUCUAUUUAACCAUAUUUUUAUUCCACUAAAAUCAAUAUUUUUAAUAACAAAAUUCACGCAGACCAAAAUCAAUCAAAUAACUCAUCCUAGAUUAAAUAAGAUUUUAAAAUAUCUUCAAUUUUUGACCAGUUAUGUUUGAACAUUUGAAGCUCUAGAUGGCACUGUAAAAUUCCUCAAAGAAGACUUCUUGCCGGCAUGUAACAGUAAAGGAUAUUUCUCCAGAGAUUCCCAAAGAGAAGCUCAUAUUAAUGGACUUUUUCAGUAGAAAUCAGGAUUCUUUUGUAGGUCUGGAGUCGAAAUUUUAGUAGAAAUCUGAAUUGUGCAGAAAACUCAGCCAGAUGUGAAUCCGAUGGGGCACGUGUGGGAUAUGCUACGUCAAGCAAUUUUAUGAAGACUAAAAUCACCCACAACUCAGGAGCUAUGUAUUAAUAUUAGAAUAUCUGUGUUUAUUUUAAAUAUUACAAAUUUUAAUAAACUACUUUUUUGGUUCUA